AGGACGAACGCUGGCGGCGUGCUUAACACAUGCAAGUCGAACGGAAAGGCCCUGCUUUUGUGGGGUGCUCGAGUGGCGAACGGGUGAGUAACACGUGAGUAACCUGCCCUUGACUUUGGGAUAACUUCAGGAAACUGGGGCUAAUACCGGAUAGGAGCUCCUGCUGCAUGGUGGGGGUUGGAAAGUUUCGGCGGUUGGGGAUGGACUCGCGGCUUAUCAGCUUGUUGGUGGGGUAGUGGCUUACCAAGGCUUUGACGGGUAGCCGGCCUGAGAGGGUGACCGGCCACAUUGGGACUGAGAUACGGCCCAGACUCCUACGGGAGGCAGCAGUGGGAAUAUUGCACAAGUGGGCGGAAGCCUGAUGCAGCAACGCGCGUGCGGAUGACGGCCUUGGUCGUAACCGCUUCGCCUGUGACGAGCGUGAGUGACGGUAAGUAGGUAAAAGAAGACGACCGGACCUAACGACGUAGCCAGCACGCCGACGUAAU
RNAcentral lists this ribosomal RNA (488 nucleotides) under uncultured soil bacterium. RNAcentral's name for it is "bacterial SSU rRNA". It matches the Rfam family "Bacterial small subunit ribosomal RNA", at positions 26 to 524 of the family's 1533-position model. The record is from RNAcentral.